Molecule: ribosomal RNA, 434 nt
Filed under: uncultured bacterium
Lineage: Bacteria
Description: partial 16S ribosomal RNA
Rfam family: Bacterial small subunit ribosomal RNA
Source: RNAcentral
AGCGAACGCUGGCGGCAGGCCUAACACAUGCAAGUCGAACGAACCUUUCGGGGUUAGUGGCGUACGGGUGAGUAACACGUGGGAACGUGCCUUUAGGUUCGGAAUAACUCAGGGAAACUUGUGCUAAUACCGAAUGUGCCCUUCGGGGGAAAGAUUAAUCGCCUUUAGAGCGGCCUGCGUCUGAUUAGCUAGUUGGUUGAGUUAAUGGCUCACCAAGGCGACGAUCAGUAGCUGGUCUGAGAGGAUGAUCAGCCACAUUGGGACUGAGACACGGCCCAAACUCCUACGGGAGGCAGCAGUGGGGAAUCUUGCGAAAUGGGCGAAAGCCUGACGCAGCCAUGCCGCGUGAAUGAUGAAGGUCUUAGGAUUGUAAAAUUCUUUCACCGGGGACGAUAAUGACGGUACCCGGAGAAGAAGCCACGGCUAACUUCGUG